CUGAAAGUCGUCGUGCGCUUGCGCCCCCUGAGAUGUUCCAACGGUAGAGUUGAGAACUUAUUGCAGAAAAUCAGAGAAUUACCGGUUUCGACAUGAUGCUGGCUGCAUUCACCUUCCGAGUAAUACAGUCUUCGCAAUGAAUACAUGGUGGAGCAGGGAGACGAAGAGGAUGAAGGUGGUCGGCGGUGGUCGGAGGUGGUUGGAGCUGUUCGGAAAUGGUAGGAGGUGGUAGGAGGCAGCAGGGGGUGGUAGGAGGCGUUUGGCGGUGGUUGGAGCGGGUAGGAAGUGUUUGGUGGUGGUUGGGAAGCGAUCGGCGGCGGUCGAGAAAGACGAGGACGACAAAUGGCGAGGAGGAGGAGAAGGGCGGGGACAAGGUGGUCGAGGAGGACGAUGGUCGUCGGAGGUGGGAGGAGGUCGUUGACGGUGGUUGGCGGUGGACGCGGUGGUCGUCGGAGGCGGUUGGCCGCGGUUAAGCGUCUUCCCACGGGGAUGAUCGAGCUGAUCGACAUAUCUAAGUCGCAGUCGACAAGUAGUCUUACGUACUCACUUUGUAUCGACUCAAUCUCAAGCUUUCAUACCGACACUACUUUGGCUGCUACGAAUGUCGGUGCGAGCCCGUUAGGUAAAGUCGACUGAGCAAAACCCUCUUACGGUCCCAGGCCCACCUGGGCUCACUUCCCGCCGAAAACUGGUCACACAAAUUUACCCGGGGGUAUCCGUCUUUAUAAAAAGUGUAGAAUUGCUUUCACUUCCGAAAGGGAGAUACAGACGUAUAAAAGCACACACGUAGCCAGAGAGAAUCCAUGCCAUCAUUAAUCUUUUUGUAAACAUGUCACGAUUCAACAAGGAAAUAUUCAGGUGACAGGAGCCCGCUCAUGA
This 879-nucleotide long non-coding RNA is filed under the name Neodiprion pinetum (white pine sawfly). Its description in RNAcentral is "uncharacterized LOC124214896". Lineage: Eukaryota; Metazoa; Arthropoda; Insecta; Hymenoptera; Diprionidae. The record is from RNAcentral.